UAUAGAGUUACAAACUCCAAACCACUGUGAACAUACCUAUGUUGCUUCGGCGGGUUCCCGGUCGUCCGCGGCCGCCCCGCCGGAGGUAUCAAACUCUGAUUUCUAGCGAAUCUUCUGAGUCUUAUAAUAAGCAAUCAAAACUUUCAGCAACGGAUCUCUUGGCUCUGGCAUCGAUGAAGAACGCAGCGAAAUGCGAUAAGUAAUGUGAAUUGCAGAAUUCAGUGAAUCAUCGAAUCUUUGAACGCACAUUGCGCCCACCAGCACUCUGGUGGGCAUGCCCGUCUGAGCGUCAUUUCAACCCUCAGGGCCCGUCCGCGGGACCUGGCGUUGGGGAUCAGCCUUCUGGCUGGCCCUGAAAUCUAGUGGCGGUCCUUCCACGACCUCCCCUGUGCAGUAGUGAUACCUCGCAGCGGGAUAGUGGUCUGGCCAUGCCGUAAAACCCCCUACUUCUCAAGGUUGACCUCAGAUCGGGUAGGAAUACCCGC
This 485-nucleotide ribosomal RNA is filed under the name Bionectriaceae sp. MS64. Its description in RNAcentral is "eukaryotic LSU rRNA". The stretch from base 139 to 292 matches the Rfam family "5.8S ribosomal RNA". The record is from RNAcentral. Lineage: Eukaryota; Fungi; Ascomycota; Sordariomycetes; Hypocreales; Bionectriaceae.